UACGUAGGGGGCGAGCGUUAUCCGGAUUCACUGGGUGUAAAGGGAGCGUAGACGGCCAAGCAAGCCAGGGGUGAAAGCCCGGGGCCCAACCCCGGGACUGCCCUUGGAACUGCAUGGCUGGAGUGCGGGAGGGGCAGGCGGAAUUCCUGGUGUAGCGGUGAAAUGCGUAGAUAUCAGGAGGAACACCGGCGGCGAAGGCGGCCUGCUGGACUGCGACUGACGUUGAGGCUCGAAAGCGUGGAGAGCGAACAGG
This 253-nucleotide ribosomal RNA is filed under the name uncultured bacterium. RNAcentral describes it as "partial 16S ribosomal RNA". It matches the Rfam family "Bacterial small subunit ribosomal RNA", at positions 524 to 776 of the family's 1533-position model. The record is from RNAcentral.